UCGAGGAUCUUCGUCAAUGGGCGCAAGCCUGAACGAGCGAUGCCGCGUGAGCGAUGAAGGCCUUCGGGUUGUAAAGCUCAAAAGAAGUGAGAAAGGGAAACUUGAUCAAACUUCAGUAAGCUCGGGCUAAGUUCGUGCCAGCAGCCGCGGUAAGACGAACCGAGCGAACGUUGUUCGGAAUCACUGGGCUUAAAGGGCGCGUAGGCGGGUAUUCAAGUCCGUGGUGAAAUCCUCCGGCUCAACCGGAGAACUGCCUCGGAUACUGGAUGUCUCGAGGGUGGCAGGGGUAUGCGGAACUAUCGGUGGAGCGGUGAAAUGCGUUGAUAUCGAUAGGAACUCCGGUGGCGAAGGCGGCAUACUGGUCCACUUCUGACGCUGAGGCGCGAAAGCCAGGGGAGCAAACGGGAUUAGAUACCCCCGUAGUCC
RNAcentral lists this ribosomal RNA (426 nucleotides) under uncultured bacterium. RNAcentral's name for it is "bacterial SSU rRNA". It matches the Rfam family "Bacterial small subunit ribosomal RNA", at positions 355 to 796 of the family's 1533-position model. The record is from RNAcentral.